RNAcentral lists this ribosomal RNA (524 nucleotides) under uncultured bacterium. RNAcentral describes it as "partial 16S ribosomal RNA". It matches the Rfam family "Bacterial small subunit ribosomal RNA", at positions 28 to 523 of the family's 1533-position model. The record is from RNAcentral.
GACGAACGCUGGCGGCGCGCCUAAUACAUGCAAGUCGAACGCUUCUUUUUCCACCGGAGCUUGCUCCACCGGAAAAAGAGGAGUGGCGAACGGGUGAGUAACACGUGGGUAACCUGCCCAUCAGAAGGGGAUAACACUUGGAAACAGGUGCUAAUACCGUAUAACAAUCAAAACCGCAUGGUUUUGAUUUGAAAGGCGCUUUCGGGUGUCGCUGAUGGAUGGACCCGCGGUGCAUUAGCUGGUUGGUGAGGUAACGGCUCACCAAGGCCACGAUGCAUAGCCGCCCUGAGAGGGUGAUCGGCCACAUUGGGACUGAGACACGGCCCAAACUCCUACGGGAGGCAGCAGUAGGGAAUCUUAGGCAAUGGACGAAAGUCUGACCGAGCAACGCCGCGUGAGUGAAGAAGGUUUUCGGAUCGUAAAACUCUGUUGUUAGAGAAGAACAAGGAUGAGAGUAACUGUUCAUCCCUUGACGGUAUCUAACCAGAAAGCCACGGCUAACUACGUGCCAGCAGCCGCCGUAA